Molecule: long non-coding RNA, 1059 nt
Filed under: Lathyrus oleraceus (garden pea)
Lineage: Eukaryota; Viridiplantae; Streptophyta; Magnoliopsida; Fabales; Fabaceae
Description: Pisum sativum (pea) long non-coding RNA (PSAT_LNC010338)
Source: RNAcentral
UCCAAUUCAAAACCAUAGCAUUCAUCAUGGUAAUCUCAUGUAUUCAAUGUUCAUUAAAACCAAAUGUUCAUUCUUUAAGUUCUCCACCUAUUAAUUAUAAUUCCAAAUCAUUGAUAACCUUUCAUGAUAAAUGACAUUCAAUACAAAUCCAUGCAUAGUUAAUGAUUCAAUAAUCCUUUCUGUUUUACACAUUACAUAAGAAUAAUUUCAAAGGUCACAGUAUAAACUAACAUCCAAGUAUCCAAACAUCUAAUCUAAAGCACUAACAUCAUCUUCACGCUUCACUCUUCUAGUCCAAGCUUUUCCUCUUCUCCAUAUUCGCCUGCAAUCAUUUCAAUAGCAGGAACAUUCUUUCAAGGCAGCAGGAUGGCAGUUUAAAUUGCACUUCAACCAAACUUCUUGCAAAUGUAACCGUCGAUCUCCAACAACAUAACAUUCACAACCAACUGCAACAAGCUCAUGACAGUAGGAACACAUAGGUUCUACAGCAUUAACAACCCUUCAUUCGCCAAUUCUAAGCGCAUAAUAGAUGUAACUUUGCCCUACAUACAACGCAUACACAUUAUCUGCCAUGAUCCUGCAGCAACAAAUACAACAACAAUAGCAUGACACAAGAGCUUUCUCAUUUGCAUCUAACAAACACUGAACUUUUAAAAUCAAGCAAAUCAGUUAACAUUUUAACAACAAGUAACUUAUUUCAUUGAGUUUCAUUAAUUGACAUUUCAGCCAACUCAAACUAAUCAACCAAAUUGUGCAUUUAAUCACAAGUGAAUUUCAUUUGGAAUUUAAAAUAAAUUUCAUAACAGAACCUCAUCUGUUUUAUGGAUUUGGAGUGAAUUUAAAUUUGAAUUUCAUUGAAAUUUAGAUGGAAUUUCUAACUGUUUUUGGAGAGGAAAGGUUAUAAAAGCUUACCCAAAACUCAUUCUUUAGGGGGAAUCUUCAAUGAAUCCAAAACUCAUUCUUCAGAUUGAAUCUUCAAUAACUCCAAAACUCAUUCUUCAGGUUGAAUCUUUAAUAACUCCAAAAUACAUUCUUCGAUCUCCAAAACUCCAAAAUUUA